This 132-nucleotide small RNA is filed under the name Klebsiella ornithinolytica. RNAcentral describes it as "Raoultella ornithinolytica RtT sRNA". It matches the Rfam family "RtT RNA". Rfam says of the family: This family represents a bacterial cis-regulatory element known as RtT RNA. The record is from RNAcentral. Lineage: Bacteria; Pseudomonadati; Pseudomonadota; Gammaproteobacteria; Enterobacterales; Enterobacteriaceae.
UGCAUCUGAAGCCGGUGAGGAUGAGAAGCUCCGGGGGUAGAGGUUCGACCCGAGCGUAGCGAGGGAACGUUGCUUUAGCAACGGCCCGCAGGGCGAGCCACGUAGUGGUGAGUCAUCCUCUAUCACCGACCA